RNAcentral lists this ribosomal RNA (825 nucleotides) under uncultured Pedosphaera sp. RNAcentral's name for it is "bacterial SSU rRNA". It matches the Rfam family "Bacterial small subunit ribosomal RNA", at positions 9 to 808 of the family's 1533-position model. Lineage: Bacteria; Pseudomonadati; Verrucomicrobiota; Pedosphaerae; Pedosphaerales; Pedosphaeraceae. The record is from RNAcentral.
GAGUUUGAUCCUGGCUCAGAACGAACGCUGGCGGCGUGGAUAAGACAUGCAAGUCGAGCGCUAAUUACAGGGUAGCAAUAUUCUGUAGUUGGAGCGGCGCAAGGGUGCGUAACACGUGGGUAAUCUGCCAUGAAGUUUGGGAUAACUCGCUGAAAGGCGAGCUAAUACCGAAUGUGACGAUUGGAAGGCAUCUUCUGAUCUUCAAAGUUGGGGACCGUAAGGCCUGACGCUUCAUGAUGAGCCCGCGGCCUAUCAGCCAGUUGGUGAGGUAACGGCUCACCAAGGCUAAGACGGGUAGCUGGUCUGAGAGGACGACCAGCCACACUGGAACUGAGACACGGUCCAGACACCUACGGGUGGCAGCAGUCGAGAAUUUUUCACAAUGGGGGAAACCCUGAUGGAGCGACGCCGCGUGGGGGAUGAAUGGCUUCGGCCCGUAAACCCCUGUCAUUCGCGAACAAUGCCUGUAUAUUAACACCAUACAGGUUGAUAGUAGCGGAAGAGGAAGGGACGGCUAACUCUGUGCCAGCAGCCGCGGUAAUACAGAGGUCCCAAGCGUUGUUCGGAUCCACUGGGCGUAAAGGGUGCGUAGGCGGUCGGGUAAGUCUGAUGUGGAAUCUCACAGCUUAACUGUGAAACUGCAUUGGAUACUAUUCGGCUUGAGGUCUGGAGGGGGGACUGGAAUUCUCGGUGUAGCAGUGAAAUGCGUAGAUAUCGAGAGGAACACCAGUGGCGAAGGCGAGUCCCUGGACAGUCCUGACGCUGAGGCACGAAAGCUAGGGGGAGCAACAGGAUUAGAUACCCUGAUAGUCCUACUCGUAAACU